This 118-nucleotide ribosomal RNA is filed under the name Pogona vitticeps (central bearded dragon). Lineage: Eukaryota; Metazoa; Chordata; Lepidosauria; Squamata; Agamidae. The record is from RNAcentral.
AGUGAUUGCCAUACCCCUCUAAAUGUGACCAGUCCUGGAUGAUUCCAGAAGCUAAGCAGGGUCAGGCCGGGUUGUUAUGUGGAUGGGAGUUCACUUUGGAAUAUCAGAUGCUAUACUG